CUUGUUGGUGAGGUAACGGCUCACCAAGGCGACGACGGGUAGCCGGCCUGAGAGGGCGACCGGCCACACUGGGACUGAGACACGGCCCAGACUCCUACGGGAGGCAGCAGUGGGGAAUAUUGCACAAUGGGCGAAAGCCUGAUGCAGCGACGCCGCGUGAGGGAUGACGGCCUUCGGGUUGUAAACCUCUUUCAGCAGGGAAGAAGCGAGAGUGACGGUACCUGCAGAAGAAGCGCCGGCUAACUACGUGCCAGCAGCCGCGGUAAUACGUAGGGCGCAAGCGUUGUCCGGAAUUAUUGGGCGUAAAGAGCUCGUAGGCGGCUUGUCACGUCGGAUGUGAAAGCCCGGGGCUUAACCCCGGGUCUGCAUUCGAUACGGGCAGGCUAGAGUUCGGUAGGGGAGAUCGGAAUUCCUGGUGUAGCGGUGAAAUGCGCAGAUAUC
Molecule: ribosomal RNA, 441 nt
Filed under: Streptomyces sp. CM4
Lineage: Bacteria; Bacillati; Actinomycetota; Actinomycetes; Kitasatosporales; Streptomycetaceae
Description: bacterial SSU rRNA
Rfam family: Bacterial small subunit ribosomal RNA
Source: RNAcentral